CAGGCAACAAAUGGGGGUCACAUCCCCCAAGGGACACCCCCCAAGUCUCACCACCAUUCCAAGGGAAAGGCAAGUCUGGGUAUUAUACCCAUUAGAUGGAGGGCAACAUUGAAGUGAACUCGGAGGGGUGGAGAGGCUGGCCCUCAUCUGGACCACACAGUGCAAGGACUUUGGGUUUCAUUCUCUGAACAAAAAUGUGGAGCCACAGAGGAGAAUGCCAACCCCGGGAGGGCAGGGCUGGAUCUUCCCUGGCGGCUGCUCCACCUCCAGCACGGAGAACAUAGCCCGACACACAAUGAGGAGACUGAGAGAAGUAAAGGUUCAUGCCGGAGGAGUUGAGGGUAAACCCAGGGUAAACCUGUGCCUUCCUGCUUACCCUCCCACCAAGCUGAAAGGGGCCUCAUGCA
Molecule: long non-coding RNA, 407 nt
Organism: Gorilla gorilla gorilla (western lowland gorilla)
Lineage: Eukaryota; Metazoa; Chordata; Mammalia; Primates; Hominidae
Exons: 3
Source: RefSeq, a predicted model, not a curated record